GUGCGAAAUGCCGUCCCCUCGGGGGCGGUAUCUAUCCAGUGUGGCGGCUGGGUACUGAUGAGCAGCCAAAC
This 71-nucleotide non-coding RNA is filed under the name Photobacterium atrarenae. The record is from RNAcentral. Lineage: Bacteria; Pseudomonadati; Pseudomonadota; Gammaproteobacteria; Vibrionales; Vibrionaceae.